CGCUCUUUGGUCUAGGGGUAUGAUCUUCGCUUAGGGUGCGAGAGGUGCCUGGAUCAACUCCUUCACAAGCCG
RNAcentral lists this transfer RNA (72 nucleotides) under Homo sapiens (human). Its description in RNAcentral is "tRNA-Pro-AGG-6-1". The record is from RNAcentral. Lineage: Eukaryota; Metazoa; Chordata; Mammalia; Primates; Hominidae.